Molecule: non-coding RNA, 74 nt
Organism: Podarcis lilfordi (Lilford's wall lizard)
Lineage: Eukaryota; Metazoa; Chordata; Lepidosauria; Squamata; Lacertidae
Source: the annotation of a GenBank genome assembly
GCCUGGAUAGCUCAGGUGGUUAGAGUCUGGUGCUGAUAACACCUAGGCUCCAGGUUCAAUCCCCACAUGGGGCA